GAUUGAAAAAUUCAUCUAUUUUUAUUAUUAAAAACUGAUAUGGCUGACAAAAUAACUAAACAGUGACACGUGGUGUGUCACAUGUACCUCAUGUUAAUGUAUAAAAACUAAUUUUUAAUAGUAAAAACAAAUGGUUUUUUUAAUA
RNAcentral lists this microRNA precursor (145 nucleotides) under Gossypium hirsutum (cotton). Its description in RNAcentral is "MIR7502 microRNA precursor family". It matches the Rfam family "MIR7502 microRNA precursor family". The record is from Rfam by way of RNAcentral. Lineage: Eukaryota; Viridiplantae; Streptophyta; Magnoliopsida; Malvales; Malvaceae.